This 930-nucleotide long non-coding RNA is filed under the name Takifugu rubripes (torafugu). Its description in RNAcentral is "lncRNA (ENSTRUG00000029164.1)". The record is from RNAcentral. Lineage: Eukaryota; Metazoa; Chordata; Actinopteri; Tetraodontiformes; Tetraodontidae.
AUGUAUUUGACAGGGGCCAACAGGGAAAUCAGGACCUACAGGACCCCCAGGAUCCCCAGGAGACAGAGGUUUUACAGGGAAACCAGGCAUGGAAGGACCACAGGGUCCUGUAGGCAUGGUAUACGAGGGAGUGUGGGCAUGCGUGGGCCUCCCGGGUUCACAGGAGAACGGGUAAAAUCACUGUCUAUUUCUCUAUCCAUGCAUUUAUCCAUACACACCAUUAUUAACGCUAAUAAAGUAAUAACGUAUCCCUUCGUCAGGGUGAGCCAGGUUCACGAGGCUUCCCUGGGCCUGGUGGGAAGCCAGGACCUCCAGUGAGUACAUCUCAUUUAUCUUGUCUGCGUGAACAGCGAGCUCGGUUCGUUGCCCCAAGUUUAGCAUCCAGCUAAAGUGAUGAAGGCUGCAGCCGGCGUCCCUGCUAAUGGCGGCAAUCAGGUUGUCCUGAUUGGUUUUGUUGGGGGUCCCUGUGGCUAAUCUAAUGGCAAAGGAGGGGGCAAAGGUCACGUAAGAGGAGGAAUAAAGGAGGAGGAAUCCAUUCUUUGAGUCAAAGACGGCUAAAUGUGUGUAUUAUAUAUUCUAUUAAUAUGUUUUAAUCAAUCACUUUUAAAACAGUGUACCAAGGUGCUCCAGACAAUAAAAAACAAAACCUACGACUUAAGUAAAAAACAGAUAAGUAAAAACAUAACCACUAAUGGAUGAUAAAAAAUAAGUGAUGAUAAAAGACAACAGGAAGUGAGCCAGCCUCCCUGUAUCAUUAAGUUGUCCAGAAUUGAACGGUUAUACAAUCAGAAACGCAUUUUCGUACAAAACAAAAGUCUAAACUCACUGCAAGUUCAAUUUGUCUGGACUUUCUUUUACUCUUAAGUGGAAAGAUAUUUUAAAAUAGCAUGAGAUGUUGAGUAUUUUAGUCAGGGAAACUUGAAACACGGU